Molecule: long non-coding RNA, 961 nt
Filed under: Homo sapiens (human)
Lineage: Eukaryota; Metazoa; Chordata; Mammalia; Primates; Hominidae
Description: HSALNT0388217
Source: RNAcentral
UGACAUGCAGAGAAGAUACAAACUUUCCUGGCUUGCGGUAACCUGAGAGAUUUUCACUUUCCUCUUGCAGCCACGGAACCCCUCAGGAUGCCAGCACCUACCCUUUCUCAAUCCUGUGUGAUUCACACUGAUCCAGUCCCCUCACUCUGUCCACAUUGAUGAGUAACUUACUCAAUGUCCCACUUGUACACCUGGGUCUAUCUGUUUUCUCUUUUUCUUUUUUCUUUUGAGACGAGUUCUCACUCUGUGUCCCAGGCCUCCCAAAGUACUGGGAUUACAGGGGUGAGCCACCGUGCCCGGCCGGUAGGGCCUUUUUAGAGGGCAAAAUUAGCAACAUAUCGUUUUCCCAGCAGUUCCAUUUUUCGGAAGUUAAGCUACAGAUAAUAUGCUGGGUCUCAGGACGCACUGGGGGAUGUUAACUGCUGCCCUGUUUACAGCAAACACUGGAGACAAUCUGGCUGCUCAUAAUAGGCGAUGGAUAAAAACAUGAUGGUGAAGUCUGAUGGGACCAUGGAGCCUCAGCUCAUAGUGAGCCAGAAUUAAUCAGGCCCCGGCUUACCUGAUACAGAGGAGACAUUCUGGAGUCCCAGUGCCCAGGAAAGAAGACGGGAGGCAGUAGCAGAGCCUGGGAGAGAUGGCCUGAGGAUGUUGUGAUGGAAGACUGUAUAUGAUCAUAUGCACUGCUGUCCAGUCUGCAGAGCCAUGUGGGGGCAAGAAGCAGAGGCAAGGAGCUGCCUGCAUGUGGGCUCUGCUUCUCUAUCCCUCACUCCGUCUCCUCCGCUGCAAAAAGAGGACAGCAAUAGCACCUGCUGCAGAGGGGUAUGUGAGAAUUAAAAGCUACUAAAGAGUAUCCCAAAAGUCCUAGAGCAGUUUUAAGUUUUAAUAACUGUGAAAGUACAAGUACUACAAACAUAUAAAAAAAGCCAGCUGAGUGCAGUGGCUCUAGCCUGUAAUCCCAGUA